This 237-nucleotide ribosomal RNA is filed under the name uncultured bacterium. Its description in RNAcentral is "partial 16S ribosomal RNA". It matches the Rfam family "Bacterial small subunit ribosomal RNA", at positions 100 to 334 of the family's 1533-position model. The record is from RNAcentral.
CCGGCACGGGUGAGUAACACGUAUCCAACCUGCCGUCUACUCUUGGACAGCCUUCUGAAAGGAAGAUUAAUACAAGAUGGCAUCAUGAGUCCGCAUGUUCACAUGAUUAAAGGUAUUCCGGUAGACGAUGGGGAUGCGUUCCAUUAGAUAGUAGGCGGGGUAACGGCCCACCUAGUCUUCGAUGGAUAGGGGUUCGGAGAGGAAGGUCCCCCACAUUGGAACUGAGACACGGUCCAA